GACGAACGCUGGCGGCGUGCCUAAUACAUGCAAGUAGAACGCUGAAGGAGGAGCUUGCUCUUCUGGAUGAGUUGCGAACGGGUGAGUAACGCGUAGGUAACCUGCCUGGUAGCGGGGGAUAACUAUUGGAAACGAUAGCUAAUACCGCAUAACAGUAGAUGUUGCAUGACAUUUGCUUAAAAGGUGCAAUUGCAUCACUACCAGAUGGACCUGCGUUGUAUUAGCUAGUUGGUGGGGUAACGGCUCACCAAGGCGACGAUACAUAGCCGACCUGAGAGGGUGAUCGGCCAAACUGGGAAUGAGACACGGCCCAGACUCCUACGGGAGGCAGCAGUAGGGAAUCUUCGGCAAUGGACGGAAGUCUGACCGAGCAACGCCGCGUGAGUGAAGAAGGUUUUCGGAUCGUAAAGCUCUGUUGUAAGAGAAGAACGAGUGUGAGAGUGGAAAGUUCACACUGUGACGGUAUCUUACCAGAAAGGGACGGCUAACUACGUG
RNAcentral lists this ribosomal RNA (495 nucleotides) under uncultured bacterium. RNAcentral describes it as "partial 16S ribosomal RNA". It matches the Rfam family "Bacterial small subunit ribosomal RNA", at positions 28 to 507 of the family's 1533-position model. The record is from RNAcentral.